AGCGUAGACGGCGAAGCAAGUCUGAAGUGAAAACUCAGGGCUCAACCCUGGGACUGCUUUGGAAACUGUUUUGCUAGAGUGUCGGAGAGGUAAGUGGAAUUCCUAGUGUAGCGGUGAAAUGCGUAGAUAUUAGGAGGAACACCAGUGGCGAAGGCGGCUUACUGGACGAUAACUGACGUUGAGGCUCGAAAGCGUGGGGAGCAAACA
This 207-nucleotide ribosomal RNA is filed under the name uncultured bacterium. RNAcentral's name for it is "partial 16S ribosomal RNA". It matches the Rfam family "Bacterial small subunit ribosomal RNA", at positions 568 to 774 of the family's 1533-position model. The record is from RNAcentral.